GAUGAACGCUGGCGGCGUGCCUAAUACAUGCAAGUCGAGCGAACGGACGAGAAGCUUGCUUCUCUGAUGUUAGCGGCGGACGGGUGAGUAACACGUGGAUAACCUACCUAUAAGACUGGGAUAACUUCGGGAAACCGGAGCUAAUACCGGAUAAUAUUUUGAACCGCAUGGUUCAAAAGUGAAAGACGGUCUUGCUGUCACUUAUAGAUGGAUCCGCGCUGCAUUAGCUAGUUGGUAAGGUAACGGCUUACCAAGGCAACGAUGCAUAGCCGACCUGGUAGGGUGAUCGGCCACACUGGAACUGAGACACGGUCCAGACUCCUACGGGAGGCAGCAGUAGGGAAUCUUCCGCAAUGGGCGAAAGCCUGACGGAGCAACGCCGCGUGAGUGAUGAAGGUCUUCGGAUCGUAAAACUCUGCUAUUAGGGAAGAACAGAUGUGUAAGUAACUGUGCACAUCUUGACGGUACCUAAUCAGAAAGCCACGGCUAACUACGUG
RNAcentral lists this ribosomal RNA (497 nucleotides) under uncultured bacterium. RNAcentral describes it as "partial 16S ribosomal RNA". It matches the Rfam family "Bacterial small subunit ribosomal RNA", at positions 28 to 507 of the family's 1533-position model. The record is from RNAcentral.